UCCGUAGGUGAACAUGCGGAAGGAUCAUUGCUGAGACCCCAACAUUAACGAAUGACCUGUGAACAUGUGAAUGAAUGUGACAACUUGUGCCAUCGUGUUGAUGUCGUUGCGGAUGUUCCGUGAUCGUGUCAACAUGUUGGUGUGGGUUGGAACACCAACGAACUCCGGCACAGCCUUGUGUCAAGGAUGAAUAAAUUUCCAAAAAUGACAAUGCCCUUUCCUCGAGCAUUGCUUUCGAGAUUUGGGUCCAUCGUCAUGUUGUGAAGAAUUGGAUGACAACGGAUAUCUGGGCUCUCGCAUCGAUGAAGAACGUAGCGAAAUGCGAUACUUGGUGUGAAUUGCGGAACCCCGCGAACCAUCGAGUCUUUGAACUCAAGUUGUGCCUGAUGCCAUUUGGUGGAGGGCACAUCUGCCUGUGUGUCAGGUUUCGUGUUUGCUCCUCGCCUCUUGUGCCCAGCUCUAUUGCGAUGCUAGAGGUGUUGGAUGCAAAGUUUGGCUCCUCGUGCCCUUGUGCGCGUUGGGCUGAAGAAUGGGUUGUCGGCAUGAAGAGUAUAGCUAAUGGUUGAUGCUUUGUUGCAUAAAUGCUUAUUGUUGUGCUCUCAUUGCCCAAGCAUUUGAUGACCCAAAUUGCAAUCGUCUUGCCUUGCUCGACGCCUUGCACAGCGACCUCAGGUCAGGUGAGGCCACCCGCUAUGUUUAAGCAUAUCAAUAAGCGGAGGA
This 720-nucleotide ribosomal RNA is filed under the name Veratrum patulum. RNAcentral's name for it is "eukaryotic LSU rRNA". The stretch from base 268 to 423 matches the Rfam family "5.8S ribosomal RNA". The record is from RNAcentral. Lineage: Eukaryota; Viridiplantae; Streptophyta; Magnoliopsida; Liliales; Melanthiaceae.